Molecule: ribosomal RNA, 425 nt
Filed under: uncultured bacterium
Lineage: Bacteria
Description: bacterial SSU rRNA
Rfam family: Bacterial small subunit ribosomal RNA
Source: RNAcentral
GGGGAAUUUUGGACAAUGGGCGCAAGCCUGAUCCAGCCAUGCCGCGUGAGUGAAGAAGGCCUUCGGGUUGUAAAGCUCUUUCAGUCGGGAAGAAACGGUGUUCUCUAACAUAGGGCACUAAUGACGGUACCGACAGAAGAAGCACCGGCUAACUACGUGCCAGCAGCCGCGGUAAUACGUAGGGUGCGAGCGUUAAUCGGAAUUACUGGGCGUAAAGCGUGCGCAGGCGGUUGUGUAAGACAGGUGUGAAAUCCCCGGGCUUAACCUGGGAACUGCGCUUGUGACUGCACGGCUAGAGUACGGCAGAGGGGGGUGGAAUUCCACGUGUAGCAGUGAAAUGCGUAGAUAUGUGGAGGAACACCGAUGGCGAAGGCAGCCCCCUGGGCCGAUACUGACGCUCAUGCACGAAAGCGUGGGGAGCAAAC